GGGGAAUUUUCCGCAAUGGGCGAAAGCCUGACGGAGCAAUACCGCGUGAGGGAUGACGGCCCUUGGGUUGUAAACCUCUUUUAUCAAGGAGGAAGUUCUGACGUGUACUUGAUGAAUAAGCAUCGGCUAACUCCGUGCCAGCAGCCGCGGUAAGACGGAGGAUGCAAGUGUUAUCCGGAAUCACUGGGCGUAAAGCGUCUGUAGGUGGUUCGAAAAGUCCACUGUUAAAAAUUGAGGCUUAACUUCAAAGAUGCCGUGGAAACUUUCAAACUAGAGUAUGGUAGGGGUAGAGGGAAUUUCCAGUGGAGCGGUGAAAUGCGUAGAUAUUGGAAAGACCACCGAUGGCGAAGGCACUCUACUGGGCCAUUACUGACACUGAGAGACGAAAGCUAGGGGAGCAAAAGGGAUUAGAUACCCCUGUAGUC
This 425-nucleotide ribosomal RNA is filed under the name uncultured bacterium. RNAcentral's name for it is "bacterial SSU rRNA". It matches the Rfam family "Bacterial small subunit ribosomal RNA", at positions 356 to 795 of the family's 1533-position model. The record is from RNAcentral.